Molecule: long non-coding RNA, 859 nt
Organism: Tripterygium wilfordii
Lineage: Eukaryota; Viridiplantae; Streptophyta; Magnoliopsida; Celastrales; Celastraceae
Exons: 5
Source: RefSeq, a predicted model, not a curated record
UGUGUUCGAUUAGGUUUGAUCAAUAUCAUAAUUUUAACACUCUUAAGCUGCUGCUGGACUUCUGUAGUCCAUCUUCGAUACUCUCUUUGUACCAGCAGAACAAACCCCCUCUCUCAGAGUUGGAAGAUGAAGAUCAGAAAUCCAGGGGCAGCUACACACCCCACAUAUUUUUCUUCCCCUCAGCACUUGAAGAACGCUAGUCGGCGAUAUAACUUUCCAUGCCAAUUUUCAGUUAAAGGUGAUAAAGGUACUAGCGCUAGUGCUCCGAUUACGGAUCAGCAGAGAGGCGCGUGAUGUGGAUGGCCUGGACUAGUGUUGAAGUGAUGGUGAUAUAGGUACUAGCGCUAGUGCUCCGACUGCGGAUCAGCAGGGAGGCGUGUGAUGUGGAUGGCCUGGAAUAAUGUUGGUGUGAUGGUUUUUUUUAUUAUUAUUUUUGUGUAGUGUUAAUGUUGGGGUGUUUGAUUAGUCUUUGGCUUAGUUGUGUAUUGGGAUACAUACGAGUACAUAUUGUUAUAAAUGAGCGAUGAUUUUGGAUGGUUUGGCCAGAGACCUUAGUAUAUAUAUAUAUAUAUGCGUAUCGGUGUGAUGAUGGAUAUGGCCUGAGGCCCUGAUUGAUUGGCUUUGUGGUAUGGGAAUUGUUUGGUUUAAAUUCCUAUUUUGAUGCAGGGGGCAUUCUCCGAUAUACGGGGAGAUGCUGUUGGAUUUUUGCCUACUAACAGUGCAUUACUUCCAUUAAGCAUGUAUGUGCCUAUUAAUGCAGUGGAGAGCUUUCACCGGUAAAAAUGAAACAUAAUGGAACUAGAGACUUGAUGUAGAACAAGCACAAGCAGCCGAACAAGCAGUAGAUGAUUUCUAUGAG